RNAcentral lists this ribosomal RNA (253 nucleotides) under uncultured bacterium. RNAcentral describes it as "partial 16S ribosomal RNA". It matches the Rfam family "Bacterial small subunit ribosomal RNA", at positions 524 to 776 of the family's 1533-position model. The record is from RNAcentral.
UACAGGGGGUGCAAACGUUGCUCGGAAUUAUUGGGCGUAAAGCGCGCGUAGGCGGCUACUUAAGUCGGAUGUGAAAGCCCCUGGCUCAACUGGGGAAGUGCACCCGAAACUGAGUGGCUUGAGUACUAAAGAGGGUCGCGGAAUUCCCGGUGUAGAGAUGAAAUUCGUAGAUAUCGGGAGGAACACCGGUGGCGAAGGCGGCGACCUGGGUAGAUACUGACGCUGAGGCGCGAAAGCGUGGGGAGCGAACAGG